RNAcentral lists this ribosomal RNA (457 nucleotides) under uncultured bacterium. RNAcentral describes it as "bacterial SSU rRNA". It matches the Rfam family "Bacterial small subunit ribosomal RNA", at positions 30 to 485 of the family's 1533-position model. The record is from RNAcentral.
AUUGAACGCUGGCGGCAUGCCUUACACAUGCAAGUCGAACGGCAGCGGACCUUCGGGUGCCGGCGAGUGGCGAACGGGUGAGUAAUAUAUCGGAACGUACCUUUCAGUGGGGGAUAACGUAGCGAAAGUUACGCUAAUACCGCAUAUUCUGUGAGCAGGAAAGCAGGGGAUCGCAAGACCUUGCGCUGAUUGAGCGGCCGAUAUCAGAUUAGCUAGUUGGUGAGGUAAAGGCUCACCAAGGCGACGAUCUGUAGCGGGUCUGAGAGGAUGAUCCGCCACACUGGAACUGAGACACGGUCCAGACUCCUACGGGAGGCAGCAGUGGGGAAUUUUGGACAAUGGGCGCAAGCCUGAUCCAGCCAUGCCGCGUGAGUGAUGAAGGCCUCGGUCGUAAGACUCUGUGGGAGGAGAAGAAUAAAGACCUGUGAAGAGCGAGGCCGUUGACGGUAUCUCCUUA